This is a long non-coding RNA of Musca domestica (house fly), 524 nucleotides long. RefSeq lists it as uncharacterized. Lineage: Eukaryota; Metazoa; Arthropoda; Insecta; Diptera; Muscidae. The record is from RefSeq and is a predicted model, not a curated record. The transcript is spliced from 2 exons.
AUGUAAAUUUGUUCGAGACUUGCCAUUAAUUUUCUACAGAUUUUAAAUCGUCAUAAAUUUCACAAAAUCCUUAAAGUUUUUGGGAGAUUUAGACAGAACGUGAAACAGAUUUGACGUUUAAGAUGGGAUGUGUGGAGUUGGCAACACUCAUAUUCUAUUUCCAGCCGAGUAUCAAUUAUUGUUUGGAUAAAUGUCACAUCUGAGAAACCUUUUCUUAAGCCGAAAACAUAUCCAACGUUUUCGUUUAACGCCGAUGUGGGAAAUACAUCGCCAUUAUGACUUUUGGCAAGCAAUAUUGUUGUAUUUUCACGUUUCGCGUUGCCAAAAGUUGAAACAGUGUUGUAUUUUUCAUGUCGACAUCAAAUGAAAGGUUGUAUCUGUUGUAGGCUUUACAUUACCAUAAUUUGACCACAAAUUGCAAGGAAAUAUCUAUUUUAAGUUCGUCUCUAAACAGCCUUCAUGGUGUAAAUUUAAGAUGACUCGAAUAUUUUUGAUCGUGUGGCUAAAUAAAUCGUGUAAACGUA